This is a small nuclear RNA of Suricata suricatta (meerkat), 102 nucleotides long. Lineage: Eukaryota; Metazoa; Chordata; Mammalia; Carnivora; Herpestidae. The record is from Ensembl.
GUGCCCACUUCGGCAGCAUGUAUGCCAUAUUUAGAACAUUGCAGAGAGGAUUAGCAUGCCCCCCCAAGGAUGACACAAAUUCAUGAGGUGAUCCCCAUCUUU